Multifurca ochricompacta is the source of this 77-nucleotide non-coding RNA. The record is from the annotation of a GenBank genome assembly. Lineage: Eukaryota; Fungi; Basidiomycota; Agaricomycetes; Russulales; Russulaceae.
GGCUGGGUGGCUCAAUGGUUAGAGCACCAGACUGAGUGUAUACCCAGAGGUCUUGGGUUCAAUCCCCAAUGUGGCCA